GCGGAUGUGGCGGAAUUGGUAGACGCGCUAGAUUUAGGUUCUAGUGUCUUGGCGACGUGAAGGUUCAAGUCCUUUCAUCCGCA
Molecule: transfer RNA, 83 nt
Filed under: Roseofilum sp. SID1
Lineage: Bacteria; Bacillati; Cyanobacteriota; Cyanophyceae; Desertifilales; Desertifilaceae
Also listed under: 1 other name
Description: tRNA-Leu
Rfam family: tRNA
About the family: Transfer RNA (tRNA) molecules are approximately 80 nucleotides in length.
Source: RNAcentral